RNAcentral lists this ribosomal RNA (224 nucleotides) under uncultured bacterium. RNAcentral describes it as "partial 16S ribosomal RNA". It matches the Rfam family "Bacterial small subunit ribosomal RNA", at positions 28 to 253 of the family's 1533-position model. The record is from RNAcentral.
GACGAACGCUGGCGGCGUGCUUAACACAUGCAAGUCGAGCGGUAAGGCCCUUUCGGGGGUACACGAGCGGCGAACGGGUGAGUAACACGUGGGUGACCUGCCCUCAGCUCUGGGAUAAGCCUGGGAAACCGGGUCUAAUACUGGAUAUGACUCCAUGACGCAUGUUGUGGGGUGGAAAGCCUUGUGCGGCUGAGGAUGGGCCCGCGGCCUAUCAGCUUGUUGGG